UGGGGAAUAUUGGACAAUGGGCGAAAGCCUGAUCCAGCCAUGCCGCGUGUGUGAAGAAGGUCUUCGGAUUGUAAAGCACUUUAAGUUGGGAGGAAGGGCAGUAAGCGAAUACCUUGCUGUUUUGACGUUACCGACAGAAUAAGCACCGGCUAACUCUGUGCCAGCAGCCGCGGUAAUACAGAGGGUGCAAGCGUUAAUCGGAAUUACUGGGCGUAAAGCGUGCGUAGGCGGCUAAUUGAGUCGGAUGUGAAAUCCCCGAGCUUAACUUGGGAAUUGCAUUCGAUACUGGUUAGCUAGAGUGUGGGAGAGGAUGGUAGAAUUCCAGGUGUAGCCGUGAAAUGCGUAGAGAUCUGGAGGAAUACCGAUGGCGAAGGCAGCCAUCUGGCCUAACACUGACGCUGAGGUACGAAAGCAUGGGGAGCAAACAGG
RNAcentral lists this ribosomal RNA (429 nucleotides) under Pseudomonadota bacterium. RNAcentral describes it as "Proteobacteria bacterium partial 16S ribosomal RNA". It matches the Rfam family "Bacterial small subunit ribosomal RNA", at positions 355 to 776 of the family's 1533-position model. Lineage: Bacteria; Pseudomonadati; Pseudomonadota. The record is from RNAcentral.